RNAcentral lists this unclassified non-coding RNA (250 nucleotides) under uncultured Hypocreales. Its description in RNAcentral is "sequence contains 5.8S rRNA gene, ITS2, 28S rRNA gene". The stretch from base 1 to 52 matches the Rfam family "5.8S ribosomal RNA", at positions 103 to 154 of the family's 154-position model. Lineage: Eukaryota; Fungi; Ascomycota; Sordariomycetes; Hypocreales. The record is from RNAcentral.
AACGCACAUUGCGCCCGCCAGUAUUCUGGCGGGCAUGCCUGUUCGAGCGUCAUUUCAACCCUCAAGCCCCCGGGCUUGGUGUUGGGGAUCGGCGAUAGUCGCCGUCCCCCAAAUCUAGUGGCGGUCUCGCUGUAGCCUCCAUUGCGUAGUAGCUAACACCUCGCAACUGGAACGCGGCGCGGCCAAGCCGUUAAACCCCCAACUUCUGAAUGUUGACCUCGGAUCAGGUAGGAAUACCCGCUGAACUUAA